GCCCCGGCCACCGGCGCUCUCGGAUGACGUACAACUGUCGCGAGAGGUCGGAAAGCGAGUGUGGUGCUAGGUGUGUUAAAUCUGCGUUUGCCUCUUGACCUGACGGUGUCUCUUCCAGUAAUGGCUCUACUUUUUCAGUCAUACAAAAGCUGAAAAAUUCAUCACUGAAAGACCUACAUAUAAGAAAUAUUAAAGUUCUUCAAGUAGAAAGAAAUUACACCACAUGGAAACCUAGACCUACAGAAAAGAAUGAAGAGUUCUGGAAAUGGUGACUAAGUAGAUAUUGAGUGGUGGUUUCAUCUACUGAUACAUGGAAGGCUACUAGCUCUGAGUGGAUCCAGAAAAAGAAAGGGCUCUGCAGCAGCUUCAGGCUGCCGUAUAACUGGCCCUUGCUACUUGGACCAUUUGACUCAACUUAUGGCCUGUUACUGGAGGUGUCUUUGGCAGAGAAAGAUGCCAUAUGGAACUUCUGAUAAUUCUCAACAGAAGAAUUGCAGCUUAGACACCUAGUGUUUUGGAGCAAGACCAUACCAGCCCACUAGAAACUGAGUGUCUGAGCAUAAGACAUUGAAUGACCAUCUAGCUUGAACUUCCCAUUAUGAAUUUGGUUCUGUCAAACUCACUAGGUUAAAAGAUCAGUUGUCCAUGUCCUGAUCAUGAAUUCUUCUGAAACUCCUCAAUAGAAUAUAAAAACCUUCUAAAUGCUGAUUUCCACAUGGCAAAACACAGCCAAGAUCCAUCUGACAUCAGCAAUGAUAUCCCUGGUUACACAUCCUCUUCAGAAUCCAGCUUGAACUUCUGGCAGUUCCCUGUUGAUGUACCGCUGCAGCUGGUUUUGAAUGAUCUUCAGCAAAAUUUUACUUGUGUGUGAUAUUAAUGAUAUUAUUCGACAAUUUCUGCAUUCCAGACUUAACCUUUACCUUAUAUCUGUAAUCACUUAGACCCUGAAGUUUCUGCUUCUUGAAACUGUCUGCACAUAGCUAAUUUUCCAAAAAAGCCUAAUGCCUAAGGCAAAAUGGUUUCUGCUAAACUGAUUACAAGACUAUUGUUUGACCUAAAAGUGACUCCAGGAAAACCAGUUCCUUAAAGGCUCAAAGCUCAAAAGGACACCUAAGGGCAAAUGGCCUGGCUGGGUCUCCCCAAUUCCAUGGACCCAGAAACUGGAUUCCAGGAGAAUUAAAAUGGUUUCUCAUCUGUCACCAAGCCACACAGAGCUGAGUCUUCGUGAGUUAGGACUCUGUCCUUAUGUCAGCCUACAUAGCCUUCCUCUGAAAUAGCUACCCCAAGCUAAGUCAGAUUCUCAUUGCCCCUUUGUGGGUUUGUUAAUUCUCUAAAAUAGCUCACAAAAUUCAUGGAGACUAUUACCUAUACUUACAGUUACUCAUUUAUUAUGACCAGAAAAGAUACAAGUGAAGAGACAUAUCAAGUGAUAUCUAGGAGAGUUCCUGGCACAAGGACUCCAUUGUCCCCAGGCAUAUGCCACCCUCUCCUGUGCGUGGAUGUUCUCACCAAUACAGGAAACCCCAAAAGAAAAAGCUCCAAGGUCCAGGGUCCCUUAGUCAUUGGGACCUCAAUGCAUACCCAUGACUCAAUGAAUAUGCAUAAUUGGCUGCAUUAUGCCCUCUCCCUUCUUGAGGUUAGUUGCCAGUGAUGAGUUGGGAGCUUUUAACUCAUUUGCACAUGUUGAAAUAUUGCCCAGAUGUUUUAGAAAAAUAAAGACACUUUGAUUGCUGGGGAAUUCCAAGGGCUAUUUUCCAGAAACUGGAGACAAAAUCUAAACCAAGUUCUUUGUCCCACACAGUCCCUCACUAAGUUUCCACAGGGUGCCAGGUACUUUGCCAGGGCACUGGGGAAUAGCCUUAUUCUACACCUUAACAAACUUCCAGUUUGGUGAGAGAGAAGAGAGAGAGGCAAUUACAGUGGCUUCUGAAAUAUAGAGAAGAUGGCAUUUUCAAGAUAUGUAAAUGUCUUAAUUUCCUCACUUAUGAAAUGUGGAUAAUAGUGAAGCCUCCGCCGAGACUUCCCCCACUCAGCCAUGGUCCCCACCCUGCACCCCCCACCACAGCAGCCUGACAAGCCAGGGCUUCUAACUGCGGUUUGGCCCGACCACGCUGCAGCCCUAACCACAGUUUGAAUUUCGUGCCAGAAUCCUGCGCAUGUGCAAACCAGAAUUUUGGUGCAUGCGAGGACCUGGAAAGCUGUGUCCUCAAUCUGUCCUUGGACCUGAACAUCGCCGACAUGACUCAACAUCCAGACCUCCAAAUGUGCACAUAGGAAGGCUAAGGGCAGAGAGUUCCGGGCACCAAACCCAACCCCCAGGCAUCAUUGGAAAUAAAAAGCCCCCAACCCCCUCAGACAGGGAGCAUGUGGUCUUUGGGCUGCUAGGCCCCAUGUUGCUCCUUGUUUGAACAAACAAUAAAUUUCCACUUUCUGUUUCCCUUGCUACUGGUAGUAUGGCGUCCAUCUUAUUUUGAUGGGCUAAUAGGAUAGGACAAGAACCCUCGUUUGGUUACAAUAGUACCUGUCUUAGUUAUCUAGUGCUGCACAAGUGCGUGGCUUUAACAAACGCAAAUUUGUUCUCACAGUUUAGAAAGCUGUUGUUUUUAGGUACCAGAAGGAGAAAAGAGGGAGAGUGAGGGAAACACAAUAUUGUUGUUAGUUUUUUAGGUACAGUCGAGCCAGUUCCGACUCAGUGAAUGUAAAACAGAAUGAAAUACUGCCUGGGCCUAUUCCAUCCUCACAAUUAUUGUUAUGCUUGAGCCCAUCGUUGCAGCUACUGUGUCAGUCCAUGUGGGUCUUCCUCUCUUUCGUUGACCCUCUGCUUUUACCAAGCAUGAUAUCCUCCUCCAGGGACUUGUCCUUCCUGAUAACAUGUCCAGAGUACAUGAGAUGAAGUUUGAAUUCAGAGAGCUGGUUCUAGGGGAAGACUUUCUCUCUGUCAGCUCUGGAGGAAGGUCCUUGUCUCUUCUAAGCUUCUGCUCCUGGGCAAUCUUCAUGUGUCUUGGCAUCUAUCUUCAGCCAUUUCUGCUUGCCUAAUCUGCUCCUUUUAUCUCUUAUAAGAGAUUGACUCAAGAUGUACCCUACACUAAUCCUGCCACAUUAACAGAAAAUUCAUUCCCAAAUGGGAUUAUAACCAUAGGCACAGAGGUUAGGACUUACAACACAUAUUUUUAGGGGACAUGAUUCAAUCCAUAACAGUAUCUAACUCACAGGGUGCUCUGAGGGUGCUGUCUGGUAUUUAGUGGAGAUUCAAUAAAAAUUUGUUUAAUUUAAAAUGUGUUAAAGUAGAAUAAAUAAGACUUGGCACCUAAGAAAAUGUGGGGAUGAAAGCGAAGAGAAGCAGAGGAUGACUCCUUGAUUUCUGCUUGAGUUGCUGGUGGUACCAGGAGGGGACAGAAGAAGAGAAGGAGGUGCAGUUUUGGGGGCAAGGUGAUGACACACUGAGUUAAAGUACCUGUGUGCGUGUGGGGUGGGGGGGAGUCGAGAUCCAGUAGGAACAGGAUAGAAGUUUCCAGAUUGCAGGUGAGACAUCUGGGCUAGAGACAGAGACUGGUGAGUCACUGGAAGUUGAUGACUUGGGCAUAGAUGAGACUUCUCAUAGAUGAAAAGAAAAGAGUAUAGAAGUCCACAUCAGCAUUUAAAGGAUGGGUGUAGGAACAUGAAGGAGCCCUGGUGGUGCAGUGGUUAAGCGCUUGGCUGCUAACCGCAAGGUGGAGGUUCGAACUCACCCGUUGCUCCACAGGAGAAAGAUGUGGCAGCCUGAUUCUGUAAAAAUUACAGCCUUGGAAACCCUAGGAGGUGGUUCUACUUUGUUCUAUAGGGUAGCUAUGAGUCGGAAUGGGUUUGGUUUGGUUUUUUGGUAGGAACAGGAGCACAGGACAGAGAAGGAGGUAUUAGAAGAAGGAAGAGGAGGAGCAGAGGGUGUUAGCACAGAAGCUAAGGGAGGAAAGGGUGUUAGGAGAGAGGCAAAAGUCCACAGUGUCAAGUGUUUCAGAGAAGUAGUUGAGAAAGGCUAUUGGGUUUGGCAUUUAUAUUUAUUGGUGGCUGUAUAAAAAAAAAAAAAAAAAUUUUUUUUUUUUUUUGUAUCAUCAACUGCAAACUGAAAAGAUGGAGGUUCGAGUUCACCCAGAGAUGCUUUGUAAGAAAUACUUGGCAAUCUACUUUCAAAAAAUCAGCCGUUGAAAACCAUAUGAAGCACAGUUCUACUCUGAAAAAUAUGGGGUCACCAUGAAUUGAAAUCGAUUCGACAGCAACUGUUUGCUUUUUAAAAAUUUUUAUCAGAAGUGGUGAGGCCACCUGCAGUGUGUGGAGGAGAGAACAGAAAAGGAGGAAGUGUAUCCAUUGAGUGCACUAUUCUUCCAAGAAUUUUGAUAGUGAAGGAAGAGAGAGGAUUUGAAUGAUAGCUUGAGGAAAGGUAGCCCAUUUUGGACUAGGGAAGAUCUAAACAAAUUUAUAGGCAGAAAAAGGAUCCAGGUUGAAGAUACAGAAGAGGGAAGAGUUGACUGAGGGCCAGAUUUGUCCAAACCCCCUUGGUGUUCCCUGUUCCCACUCUUGUGUGCAUGCUCAGCUUGGGCCAACCCAGGCUCCACCUGUGCUGACAAAUAGGACUUCUUUGCUCUUUGACAUGGGCAGGUGUGGGGGCAUCAGUACUGUGAUGGGUGUGCUUCAAUGUCCACGUCCCCGCUGUCCACGCUGACAUUAACUGCAUAUACCCUCAUUCCUACACCCAGACUCCAAUACACUGUCUGGCACAUAUACCAAUCAAAACCAAACCCAGUGCUGUCGAGUCAAUUCCAACUCAUAACGACCCUAUAGGACAGAGGAUAACCACCCCAUAGAAUUUCCAAGGAGUGCCUGGUGCAUUCGAACUGCCGACCCUUUGGUUAGCAGCCAGAGCACUUAACCACUACGCCACCAGGGUUCCCCUGGCACAUAUAAAAACCAAAAACCAAACCCAGUGCCAUCGAGUCGAUUCUGACUCAUAGCGACCCUAUAGGACAGAGUAGAACUGCUGCAUAGUUUCCAAGGAGCGCCUGGCAGAUUGAAAGGCCGACCCUUUGGUUAGCAGCCAUGGCACGUAACUGCUAUGCCAGCAGGGUUUCCCUGGCACAUAUCUGUAUGUGGAAUUUUUAUUGAAUAUUUUAUCCUAUAUUCUUCACAAGGUUGUGAGGAUCAAGUGAGAAACAUAUAAAUGCUCUAUAAAAAUAUAAUGAUGCAAGCAUUAAGUAUUACUACUGUUUAAAAAACAGGUUCACAGACACCCUCACAAGUACACGGGGGGGUCUCAUACAUCAACCAAGCUCACACAGAUUCACACACAAGCUAGGGCACGUGUGUUCACACAGGCCCACAGAUAACACUAAAACACACAUACUCCCUUAUAGGCUCACGCAGGUAUGUAAGAUCUCACACACACUCACAGAGUCCACCACAUUCACAUACAAACUUACACACAUACAAGCACACCCUCACAGAAAGCACACUCAUAUCCUCCCAUUUAGGCUGUGUGCAGGUAUGCGUUUGGAACUUGCACACUCUCAAAGGCCCACAUGCCCACACAAAAGUAAGCUGAGAGUCUUCCAGUCUGAGGAGGACUGAGUUGAUUCAACAUCCAUGUGCCAGGGAGGAUACCUCAGUUAGUGAAUAAUUUCACUGGCCUGCAGCUUUGCCCCAGAACCUUAAUUUCAGCAGAGAACCAAUCUGUCUGGGGCCAAGGCAGGGAGGCAGAAAGAGAGAGGAGCAGGGCUGAAAGAAGAGACCUCUUCCCCUCCUUCCUUGUCUGUCACUCUCCAGAUACCAAGGGGCCUCCACUCCCAGGCCCCUGAGCAGAGUCACAAUUCCUGAUCCUGGAGGGCUCUCAUCCCGCAGGCCAAUGCCACAGCCAUUAAAUACCUCUCCUAGGAUAUCUGCACAAACUCAGCUGCCCCAAGACCCUUCAUCUCUCCUCUUGGCUCUACCCAUCCCCAUCCCCAGCAGUGAGCAGCAUGCAGAUGGGUCCCCACUUGGGUGAUAGAAAAGCUGAGUUCAGGGAAAGGAAGAACUUUAUCCAAGGUGCACCAUGUGUUUGUUUUUCCUUCAUCAGGCCCUCAGCCUAGCACACAGGUCUCUCAUGAGCCCCCAGUCAGUUCCCCAAUGGCUGCUUCAAAACCCUCUUGUCAAUCCCACAUGUCCACCACCUUCUGGUUUCAAUCCCUACACAUAAUCUGAGCUUUUUCUUCACAGAGAUGUAAAUAGAGAGUAGGAGCCAUCAGAAGGAAAUCUUUUUAACUUCCAGGAUACCCCUCACCCAAUAGGAACCUACUGGUAUUAGCUCUCAUCCUUGUCUCCUCCCAGCUCAGAUGUGUCCAGGACUAAUUGCUCAUGGAUGCUCUGCAUCUCACCCCUCUGAUCUCUUCUGAUACCUUGCUCCUUCAGCUAUUUCCUCUAUCUCCUGGAUCUUUAGUCUCCUCCUUUCUACUAGAUUCUUCCCCUCAGGUAUAAGUAUGUUCGUAUCCCUUCCAUCUUAAAAAAUAAGUUCCAUAUUAUGCAGCCACAGUAGUCAAAACAGCCUGGUACUGGUACAACAACAGGCACAUAGACCAAUGGAACAGAAUUGAGAACCCAGAUAUAAACCCAUCCACAUAUGAGCAGCUGAUAUUUGACAAAGGCCCAAUGUCAGUUAAUUGGGGAAAAGAUAGUCCUAACAAACGGUGCUGGCAUAACUGGAUAUCCAUCUGCAAAAAAAUGAAACAGGGCCCAUACCUCACACCAUGCACAAAAACUAACUCCAAAUGGAUCAAAGACCUAAACAUAAGGACUAAAACGAUAAAGAUCAUGGAAGAAAAAAUAGGGACAAUGUUAGGAGCCCUAAUACAGGGCAUAAACAGCAUACAAAACAUAACUAAAAAUGACAAAGAGAAACCAGAUAACUGGGAGCUCCUAAAAAUGAAACACUUAUGCUCAUCUAAAGACUUCACCAAAACAGUAAAAAGACCACCUACAGACUGGGAAAGAAUUUUCAGCUAUGACAUCUCUGACCAGUGUCUGAUCUAUAAAAUCUAUAAAAUCUAUUCUGUUAAAACUCAACCACGAAAAGACAAACAACCCAAUUAAAAACUGGGCAAAGGAUAUGAACACGUACUUCACUAAAGAAGAUAUUCAGGCACCUAACAGAUACCUGAGCAAAUGCUCUCGAUCAUCAGCCAUUACAGAAAUGCAAAUUAAAACUAUGAUGAGAUUCUAUCUCACUCCAGCAAGGCUGGCAUUAAUCCAAAAAACACAAAAUAAUAAAUGUUGGAGAGGCUGUGGAGAGACUGGAACACUUAUACACUGCUGGUGGGAAUGUGAAAUGGUACAAUCACUUUGGAAAUCGAUCUGGCUUUUCCUUAAAAAGCUAGAAAUAGAACUACCAUACGACCCAGAAAUCCCACUCCUUGGAAUAUAUCCUAGAGAAAUAAGAGCCUUUACGCGAACAGAUAUAUGCACACCCGUGUUUAUUGCAGCACUGUUUACAAUAGCCAAAAGAUGGAAGCAACCAAGGUGUCCAUCAACGGACGAAUGGAUAAAUAAAUUAUGGUAUAUUCACACAAUGGAAUACUACGCAUCGAUAAAGAACAAUGAUGCAUCUGUGAAACAUUUCAUAACAUGGAGGAACCUGGAAGGCAUUAUGCUGAGUGAAAUUAGUCAGAGGCAAAAGGACAAAUAUUGUAAAAGACCACUAUUAUAAGAUCUUGAGAAAUAGUUUAAACUGAGAACACAUUGUUUUGUGGUUAUGAGAAGGGGGAGGGAGGGAGAGUGGGAGAGGGCUAUUUGCUGAUUAGAUAGUAGAUAAGAACUACUUUAGGUGAAGGGAAGGACAACACUCAAUACAGGGGAGGUCAGCACAACUGGACUGGACCAAAAGCAAAGAAAUUUCCUGAAUAAACUGAAUGCUUCGAAGGUCAGUGGAGCAAGGGUGGGGGUUUGGGGACUAUGGCUUCAGGGGACAUCUAAGUCAAGUGGCAAAAUAAAUUCUAUUAAGAAAACAUUCUGCAUCCCACUUUGAAGUGUGGCAUCUGGGGUCUUAAACACUAGCGAGUAGCCAUCUAAGAUGCAUCGAUGAGUCUCAAGCCACCUGGAUCAAAGGAGAAUGAAGAACACCAAGGUCACAAGGUAAUUAUGAGCCCAAGAGACAGAAAGGGCUACAUGAACUGGAGACUACAUCAUCCUGAGACCAGAAGAACUAGAUGGUGCCCGGCCACAACCGAUGACUGCCCUGACAGGGAGCACAAGAGAGAACCCCUGAGGGAGCAGGACAACAGUGGGAUGCAGACCCCAAAUUCUCAUAAAAAGACCAGACUUAAUGGUCUGACUAAGACUAGAAGAAUCCCGGCGGUCAUGGUCCCCAAACCUUCUGUUGGCCCAGGACAGGAACCAUUCCCGAAGCCAACUCAGCAGACAUGGAUUGGACUGGACAAUGGAUUGGAGAGAGAUGCUGAUGAGGAGUGAGCUACUUGCAUCAGGUGGACACUUGAGACUAUGUUGGGCUCUCCUGUCUGGAGGGGAGAUGAGAGGGUAGAGGGGGUUAGGAACUGGCAAAACGGUCACGAAAGGAGAGACUGGAAGGAGGGAGCGGGCUGACUCAUUAGGGAGAGAGUAAGUGGGAGUAUGUAGUAAGGUGUAUAUAAGUUUAUAUGUGAGAGACUGACUUGAUUUGUAAACUUUCACUUAAAGCAAAAUAAAAAUUAUUUAAAAACAAAAUAAGUUCUACAUUCCUUUCUAUCUGCCACUCUGUCACUCUCCUUCCAUUCAUUGCCAAUUUUCUUAAAAGAGUUGCCUUCAGCAUAUGUGAGAAAAUGCACAUGCUAUCUGUAGGCUUAUGUAUAUACAUGUUUGUGUGUACUGUAUAUAUAUCCACGUAUAUAACAAACCACAUCGGCACAGUUACAGAGGUUUCCUAGACCUAUCCAAACAACUUGCAGGAUUGGUUUACUGGGUCAAAAGACUUGGAACCAUAGUCUCAGGGAUCAACUUAAUCAAUUGGCAUAAUAGAGUUCACAAAGAUAAUGCUGUACAUCGUAGUUUGGUGAGUAGAGCCUGGGGUCUUAAAAGCUUGUGAGCAGCUAUGUAAGAUACAACUAUUGGUCUCUACUCAUAUGGAGCAAAAAAUAAUGAAGAAAAAGGCUCAAAGAAGAAACGAGUCCAUAGGUCUAAUAGCCCACACGAACCACAACCUCUUCUAACCUGAGACCAGAAGAACUAGAUGGUACCUGGCUACCGCUACUGACCAUCCUGACCAGGGACACAAUAGAAGGUCCCAGAUAGAAUGGGAGAAACAUGUCAAACUAAAUUCAAAUUCCUAAAAAAGGCCAGACCUACUGGACUGAUAAAAACUAGAGGAACCCCCAAGAGUAUUGCCCUAAGACACACUUUGAGCUUGGAAUUUCAAUUCAGCUAUUUCUGCAGGUCACCUUUCAGCCAAAUAAUUGGCUUAUAAAAUAAACAAUAUCACCAGGGAGUUAUGUGCUCCCUUAAACAAUUUAACUAUAUCAAAAGGAUUGGAAAUAAUGAGAAUGCUGACACAGUGUAAAAAUUAUAACCAAUGGCAUGAAACAAUUUGUAUAAAAAUUGUUAAAGGGGAACCUAAUUUGCUAUGUAAACUUUCACCUAAAACACAAUAAAACAUUAUUUAAGAAAAGAGUUACCUUCACUCACUCUCUCCCUUCUCUUACCAUCCCCUCAUCUCCCAAAUCACUACAAUCAUCCUUUGCCACCUCACCCAUCCCCCCUACAAACACACACAACUUUACACCAAAGGGGCCAGCCAUCAUCUUUAGGCUUUUUGACAAAGCCCGAUUUUCAGUUCUCAGUCUCUGUAUUUAGGACCUCUCAGUAGCACUGAAUAUUGUCAACUGUUCCUUCCUUUUUGGAACGCUCUGCCCCUGGCUAUUUUCUCUCUUGGUUUCCCCCCUACCUCUCCAGUCACCCAUUUGCCCUCUUAGAGUUCUCAUGUCCAAUCAAUAUUAAUUCCGUGGCUUUUACCUCCUAAAGAUUUCUAAAAGAAAAGAAAAGAAGUCUACUUCCCAGCUGAGACUCUGAGCUUUAACCCAAAUUAAAGCAACACCUCCUUAACUGGGCUCCCUGCAUCCAUGCUUGCCUUUUCUGACUAUCUAAACCUUGUCCAAAGGGUCCUUUUAAAAUAAAAAUCUGACUGUAUCCUUUUGCUGCAUGAAUCCUUCAUUGGCUUUUCAUUGCCUAUAGGAUAAAGUGCAACUCUGAACGGGGCUUAUAAGGCUCUCUGGGCUCAAAUUCCACCUUCCUCUCUAGCCUCAUCCCUCACACCUACCUCCUUGCCUCCUAUAAGCCUUUUCAGCUCUGCUAAACCCUUUUCAAUCUCUCAAAUACAUCUUGCUCUCUCUUGCCUUUGGACAUUUAAACAUGGUAUUAUCUCUGCCUGUUAAUACCUUGGAGCUCUGGUGAUGUAGUUGUUAAGAGAUCAGCUGCUAACCGAAAGGCUGGCAAUUCAAAUCCACCAGCAGCUCCUUGGAA
Molecule: long non-coding RNA, 10506 nt
Organism: Loxodonta africana (African savanna elephant)
Lineage: Eukaryota; Metazoa; Chordata; Mammalia; Proboscidea; Elephantidae
Exons: 5
Source: RefSeq, a predicted model, not a curated record